This 248-nucleotide long non-coding RNA is filed under the name Scleropages formosus (Asian bonytongue). RNAcentral's name for it is "lncRNA (ENSSFOG00015024463.1)". The record is from RNAcentral. Lineage: Eukaryota; Metazoa; Chordata; Actinopteri; Osteoglossiformes; Osteoglossidae.
AGCAUACUUGGAGGAGAGGUCCAUUUUCCUGUCACCACCCACAGCCCCGUGGAUGACCAUAGGCAUUGAACAUUUAAGAAAUGAAGAGAAAAGUGUCUACGUGUCACGUGGAACUGAGGACGCGGGGGCGGCUGGACCCAAGCGCAGGAUCGGUCGUCAGGAACCAAGGAAUCAGAAUCCUGAUGUGCCCACUUAUGGCAGAGGGGACAAUGUCACAAAGGCUUAGAGAUUCAUCAGCCUACAAAGCC